Non-coding RNA from Canis lupus familiaris (dog), 139 nucleotides. NCBI's taxonomy places the organism in Eukaryota, Metazoa, Chordata, Mammalia, Carnivora, Canidae. The record is from Rfam.
AACUUUGCGCAGUGGCAGUAUCAUAGCCAAUGAGGUUUAUCCAAGGCACAAUUAUUGCUAAUCGAAAGAUACUGAUGAAAUAAAGAAGAGAUAAAGAAGUGGAUAGAUUUUAUAAGCUCAUGUAUUGGAAGAAUUAAUU